This 72-nucleotide transfer RNA is filed under the name Camelus dromedarius (Arabian camel). It matches the Rfam family "tRNA". From Rfam's summary of the family: Transfer RNA (tRNA) molecules are approximately 80 nucleotides in length. Their secondary structure includes four short double-helical elements and three loops (D, anti-codon, and T loops). Further hydrogen bonds mediate the characteristic L-shaped molecular structure. tRNAs have two regions of fundamental functional importance: the anti-codon, which is responsible for specific mRNA codon recognition, and the 3' end, to which the tRNAs corresponding amino acid is attached (by aminoacyl-tRNA synthetases). tRNAs cope with the degeneracy of the genetic code in two manners: having more than one tRNA (with a specific anti-codon) for a particular amino acid; and 'wobble' base-pairing, i.e. permitting non-standard base-pairing at the 3rd anti-codon position. The record is from Rfam by way of RNAcentral. RNAcentral also lists the same sequence under 1 other name. Lineage: Eukaryota; Metazoa; Chordata; Mammalia; Artiodactyla; Camelidae.
GAGGGUAUAUCUCAGUGGUAGAGCGCAUGCUUAGCAAGCAUGAGGUCCUGGGUUCAAUCCCCAGUACGUCCA